GGCGCUGUGGCUUAGUUGGUUGAAGUGCCUGUCUAGUAGGCAGGUGGUCAUGGGUUCGAAUCCCAGCAGUACCU
Non-coding RNA from Pangasianodon gigas (Mekong giant catfish), 74 nucleotides. Lineage: Eukaryota; Metazoa; Chordata; Actinopteri; Siluriformes; Pangasiidae. The record is from the annotation of a GenBank genome assembly.